Molecule: long non-coding RNA, 204 nt
Filed under: Mytilus galloprovincialis (Mediterranean mussel)
Lineage: Eukaryota; Metazoa; Mollusca; Bivalvia; Mytilida; Mytilidae
Source: RNAcentral
AAUAAGUGAGGGGCCAAAAAAAGGGUCCCAAAUAAGCAUUUUAUUAGUUUUCAGUCAAUAACUUUUGUUUAAGUGUAUAAAUCUGUCUGAAAUUAUACCACAAGUUUCCAUACUACAAAGGGAUGGUUAUAUGGGGUAGUGGACCAAAUUAUUAAGCAAUUAGGGGCAAAACAAGGAUUUUUCUGGUUAAAGGACAAUUUAGAC